UACAGGGGGUGCAAACGUUGCUCGGAAUCAUUGGGCGUAAAGCGCGUGUAGGCGGCUUUCUAAGUCGGGGGUGAAAUCCUGGAGCUCAACUCCAGAACUGCCUUCGAUACUGAGGAUCUUGAGUUCGGGAGAGGUGAGUGGAACUGCGAGUGUAGAGGUGAAAUUCGUAGAUAUUCGCAAGAACACCAAUGGCGAAGGCAGCUCGCUGGAACGGUACUGACGCUGAGACGCGAAAGCGUGGGGAGCGAACAGG
RNAcentral lists this ribosomal RNA (253 nucleotides) under uncultured bacterium. RNAcentral describes it as "partial 16S ribosomal RNA". It matches the Rfam family "Bacterial small subunit ribosomal RNA", at positions 524 to 776 of the family's 1533-position model. The record is from RNAcentral.